This 304-nucleotide small nuclear RNA is filed under the name Jaculus jaculus (lesser Egyptian jerboa). RNAcentral's name for it is "7SK RNA (ENSJJAG00000004745.1)". It matches the Rfam family "7SK RNA". From Rfam's summary of the family: 7SK was discovered as an abundant small nuclear RNA in the mid-70s but a possible function has only recently been suggested. Two independent studies have found that 7SK RNA binds the CDK9/cyclin T complex (known as elongation factor P-TEFb). Lineage: Eukaryota; Metazoa; Chordata; Mammalia; Rodentia; Dipodidae. The record is from RNAcentral.
GGGUGUGAGGGUGAUCUGGCUGCAACAUCUUUCACCCCAUUGAUUGCCAGGGUUGACCUGGCUGGGUAGGCAGAUGCCCCCUUCCUCCCUCUCUGCUCCGUGUGUCCCUUCUGAAGCUGCAUUCUUGGUCAAAGAAGAGGACGACCUUCCCUGAAGACAGGAGGACCAUCUUCAGUCAAGGGUAAACGAGUAGCUGUGCUCCUGCUAGAACCGCCAAACAAGCUCUCAAGAUACGGGGAUCUCACUUGGCAACCUGGCUUCACAAGCAGCUGAAGACCAUGUGCAAUACUAGAUGCAUUUUUUU